Molecule: ribosomal RNA, 322 nt
Filed under: Pseudocordylus microlepidotus microlepidotus
Lineage: Eukaryota; Metazoa; Chordata; Lepidosauria; Squamata; Cordylidae
Description: partial 16S large subunit ribosomal RNA
Source: RNAcentral
GCUUAGCCCAAGCCCAACUAAACCCCCAAACAUAUUACACCUACUAAACAAAUCAUUUGACCAAAAAAGUAUUUGAGAAAGAACAUUAAAAUCGGCGCAACACUACCGCAAGGGACACCUGAAAGAAAAAUGAAACACUUAAGCACAACAAAGCAAAGAUUAACCCUUGUACCUCUUGCAUCAUGAUUUAGCGAGCAACCCUAGACAAAGAGCCCUUAAGCCUGAUCUCCCGAAACUACGUGAGCUACUUCCGGGCAAUAUAUGAAUCAACUCGUCUCUGUGGCAAAAGAGUGAGACGACCUUGAAGUAGUGGUGAAAAGCC